Molecule: ribosomal RNA, 497 nt
Filed under: uncultured bacterium
Lineage: Bacteria
Description: partial 16S ribosomal RNA
Rfam family: Bacterial small subunit ribosomal RNA
Source: RNAcentral
GAUGAACGCUGGCGGCGUACCUAAUACAUGCAAGUCGAGCGAACAGACGAGGAGCUUGCUCCUCUGACGUUAGCGGCGGACGGGUGAGUAACACGUGGAUAACCUACCUAUAAGACUGGGAUAACUUCGGGAAACCGGAGCUAAUACCGGAUAAUAUAUUGAACCGCAUGGUUCAAUAGUGAAAGACGGUUUUGCUGUCACUUAUAGAUGGAUCCGCGCCGCAUUAGCUAGUUGGUAAGGUAACGGCUUACCAAGGCAACGAUGCGUAGCCGACCUGAGAGGGUGAUCGGCCACGCUGGAACUGAGACACGGUCCAGACUCCUACGGGAGGCAGCAGUAGGGAAUCUUCCGCAAUGGGCGAAAGCCUGACGGAGCAACGCCGCGUGAGUGAUGAAGGUCUUCGGAUCGUAAAACUCUGUUAUUAGGGAAGAACAAAUGUGUAAGUAACUAUGCACGUCUUGACGGUACCUAAUCAGAAAGCCACGGCUAACUACGUG